CAAGUGUCGUAGAUCCGAACUGCGGCAAGCUUAACCGCAUCUACCAACUGCGGUUAUGCACCGCCGCACCUCCCAGGUACGGCACCCCUCAACCGCGCCUCCCAAGUGCGGAGUUCUGCGCGCACCUCCUCUUGCAAGAGUCAUCCCCAACCCCAACCCCAGUUCAAUCUCUCUCGUCAUCCCCAACCCCAACCCAAGUUCAAUCUCUCUCACAACAUACAAACAACAUGAUCAACUAACCUAAUGCAAGAAAAAUAACAUUUAACAGAAGAACUAACCUGGGCGCCUGCUGAAGUGCUAGAUCUCACCACCACACAGCCACACCAAACAACCUGAGCCCGUGAAAAUGAUGACAAACAGAGAAGAGGAAGCACUGUAAUGGUAAAAUGAGUGUUGAGCAAAGUAAAAGAAAUAAGAAGGGGUGUUGAGAUGCGACACUGGAAAGCACUUUGCUUUUUCAAUAGUCAGCUUUUUCAGUAUUUUUUAAAAUCAAAAUAUUCUUUUUAAGGGACAAAAUGGUAAUUUGGGAGGUGCAGGGAGAAAGGGAUGAGGUGUAGGGAGAAGCACUCCAAAAUAUUCACCACCAGUUACAUCAAAACGAAACUAAUAAGUUAUUAUUUAAUCACAGGCUUAAUACUUCCAUUGGUCCUCAUAUUUGUGUGCAAAUCUCAGUUUGGUUUUCAAGUUUUGAACUGUCUCAAUUAAGUCAUAAUUUUUGUAAAAAUGCACACAUUUCACCCUAACCGUUAAGUUGUCUCAAACGACGUUAAUUGAUGCUGAGAUGAUUUUUUUAUUUUAAGCUUAAUCCCUUUCUUGGUCCUUAUGUUUGUGUGAAAAUCUCAAUUCGGUCCUCGAGUUUUGAACUGUCUCAAUUGGGUCAUAAUUUUUGAGCUAUCGACAACGACGACAUUUUUUAGUUUGAGAGGGAGAAAAUGUGUGAGUCGGGGAGUUUGAGGGUUUGAGGGUGGAGGAAUGAGUGAAAUGCGAUCAGUGAUUGGAAGGAAAAAGAAAUACCAUAGCCACAUAAAUUUAAUGAUUUUAAAACAUAAAAAAAAAAAAUUACAGCUCAGUUCAAAGUUAACGUCGUCUCAAGACACUACGGUUGGGGUAAAAUGUUGUAAAAUGUUUGCAUUUCAUAAGGACUUGAGGAAAAAGUGUGAUAAGUGAUUGGAAGGAAAAAAGAAAGACCAUAGCCACGUGGAUUUAAUGAUUUUAAAACAUAAAAAAAAAUACAGCUCAGUUCAAAGUUAAUGCCGUCUCAAUACACUUAAUGGUUGGGGUAAAAUAUUGUAAAAUGUUUGCAUUUCAUAAGGACUUGAGGAAAAACUUGAGGACCGAACUGAGAUUUUCACACAAACAUAAGGACCAAGGGAAAAAUUAAGCCUAAAAUAAAAAUUUCAUCUGAG
This 1406-nucleotide long non-coding RNA is filed under the name Vigna radiata. RNAcentral describes it as "long non-coding RNA (VRAD_LNC018341)". The record is from RNAcentral. Lineage: Eukaryota; Viridiplantae; Streptophyta; Magnoliopsida; Fabales; Fabaceae.